This 1000-nucleotide ribosomal RNA is filed under the name uncultured Pseudomonas sp. RNAcentral's name for it is "bacterial SSU rRNA". It matches the Rfam family "Bacterial small subunit ribosomal RNA", at positions 126 to 1122 of the family's 1533-position model. Lineage: Bacteria; Pseudomonadati; Pseudomonadota; Gammaproteobacteria; Pseudomonadales; Pseudomonadaceae. The record is from RNAcentral.
CUGCCUGGUAGUGGGGGAUAACGUUCCGAAAGGAACGCUAAUACCGCAUACGUCCUACGGGAGAAAGGGGGGGAUCUUCGGACCUCUCGCUAUCAGAUGAGCCCAAGCGGGAUUAGCUAGUUGGUGAGGUAAAGGCUCACCAAGGCGACGAUCCCUAGCUGGUCUGAGAGGAUGAUCAGCCACACUGGAACUGAGACACGGUCCAGACUCCUACGGGAGGCAGCAGUGGGGAAUAUUGGACAAUGGGCGAAAGGGCUGAUCCAGCCAUGCCGCGUGUGUGAAGAAGGCCUUCGGGUUGUAAAGCACUUUAAGCGAGGAGGAAGGUUCGUCACCUAAUACGUGACGGAAUUGACGUUACUCGCAGAAUAAGCACCGGGCUAACUCUGUGCCAGCAGCCGCGGUAAUACAGAGGGUGCAAGCGUUAAUCGGAUUACUGGGCGUAAAGCGCGCGUAGGCGGUGUGUAGUUGGAUGUGAAAUCCCCGGGCUUAACCUGGGCACUGCAUUCAAAACUGCACGGCUAGAGUAUCGUAGAGGAAGGUAGAAUUCCAGGUGUAGCGGUGAAAUGCGUAGAGAUCUGGAGGAAUACCGAUGGCGAAGGCAGCCUUCUGGCCUAAUACUGACGCUGAGGUGCGAAAGCAUGGGGAGCAAACAGGAUUAGAUACCCUGGUAGUCCAUGCCGUAAACGAUGUCAACUAGGUGUUGGGGAACUUGAUUCCUUAGUGCCGCAGCUAACGCAUUAAGUUGACCGCCUGGGGAGUACGGUCGCAAGACUAAAACUCAAAUGAAUUGACGGGGGCCCGCACAAGCGGUGGAGCAUGUGGUUUAAUUCGAUGCAACGCGAAGAACCUUACCUACUCUUGACAUCCAGAGAAUCCUGUAGAGAUACGGGAGUGCCUUCGGGAAUUCUGAGACAGGUGCUGCAUGGCUGUCGUCAGCUCGUGUCGUGAGAUGUUGGGUUAAGUCCCGCAACGAGCGCAACCCUUAUCCUUAGUUGCCAGC